Molecule: unclassified non-coding RNA, 98 nt
Filed under: Arabidopsis thaliana (thale cress)
Lineage: Eukaryota; Viridiplantae; Streptophyta; Magnoliopsida; Brassicales; Brassicaceae
Description: partial MIR399d microRNA precursor
Source: RNAcentral
AACUCAAAAUGCAAUGUGAAAUAUGAAGAAUAUAUUAAAUAGUAGUGAAGAUGCAUGUUUAUGAAGACAGAGAGAUAAUGUAUGGUUGGAUUACUGGG